AACGAACGCUGGCGGCAUGCCUAACACAUGCAAGUCGAACGAGACCUUCGGGUCUAGUGGCGCACGGGUGCGUAACGCGUGGUAACCUGCCCUUAGGUUCGGAAUAACUCCCCGAAAGGUGUGCUAAUACCGGUUAAUGUCUUCGGUCCAAAGAUUUAUCGCCUUUGGAUGGGCCCGCGUUGGAUUAGCUAGUUGGUAGGGUAAAAGCCUACCAAGGCGACGAUCCAUAGCUGGUCUGAGAGGAUGAUCAGCCAGACUGGGACUGAGACACGGCCCAGACUACUACGGGAGGCAGCAGUGGGGAAUAUUGGAAAAUGGGCGAAAGCCUGAUCAAGCAAUGCCGCGUGAGAGAUGAAGGCCUUAGGGUAGUAAAGCUCUUUUACCCGGGAUGAUAAUGACAGUACCGGGAGAAUAAGCUCCGGCUAACUCCGUG
Molecule: ribosomal RNA, 433 nt
Filed under: uncultured bacterium
Lineage: Bacteria
Description: partial 16S ribosomal RNA
Rfam family: Bacterial small subunit ribosomal RNA
Source: RNAcentral